GGAGUCUAGCAUGUGCGCGAGUCAUUGGGACUCUACUAAACCUAAAGGCGCAAUGAAAGUGAAGGUUCGCCCUGCGCGGACCGAGGGAGGAUGGGCCGGUCCUCGGACCGGCUCCGCACUCCCGGGGCGUCUCGUUCUCAUCGCGAGAAGAGGCGCACCCAGAGCGUACACGCUGGGACCCGAAAGAUGGUGAACUAUGCCUGGUCAGGACGAAGUCAGGGGAAACCCUGAUGGAGGUCCGUAGCGAUUCUGACGUGCAAAUCGAUCGUCGGAACUGGGUAUAGGGGCGAAAGACUAAUCGAACCAUCUAGUAGCUGGUUCCCUCCGAAGUUUCCCUCAGGAUAGCUGGCGCUCGCUGCGUGCGAGUCUCAUUCGGUAAAGCGAAUGAUUAGAGGCAUUGGGGUCGAAACGGCCUCAACCUAUUCUCAAACUUUAAAUGGGUGAGAUCUCCGGCUUGCUUAAACGGUGAAGCCGCGAGAUAUCGGAUCAGAGUGCCAAGUGGGCCACUUUUGGUAAGCAGAACUGGCGCUGUGGGAUGAACCAAACGCCGAGUUAAAGCGCCCAAAUCGACGCUUAUGGGAUACCAUGAAAGGCGUUGGUAACUUAAAACAGCAGGACGGUGGCCAU
Molecule: ribosomal RNA, 627 nt
Filed under: Podotenus storeyi
Lineage: Eukaryota; Metazoa; Arthropoda; Insecta; Coleoptera; Scarabaeidae
Description: eukaryotic LSU rRNA
Rfam family: Eukaryotic large subunit ribosomal RNA
Source: RNAcentral